CACCAGUAGCUGGGACUACAGGUCUGUGCCACCAUGCCCAGGCCCAAGAACCUCGUUUGAGGGACUUCAAGAAAAGAGGAGCUCAUCCAGUUCGUACAGACCUUUUCUCCCUAUCAAGCCAAACCUCCUCUGUUCAGCUCAUCGGAACACUCAUUCUAUUUUACGAGAAUGAGUUAUUGCACAAUUCUUGAGUCACAAAUAAAAGCCAAUUAAGAUUUUAAAACUUGUUGUGCUUUUUGUCUUUUGACAGAUCAGAGUUUGCUGAUGGAUCACAUACGGGAUCCAAACAGCCAACUUAGGCUUCCUGUGCCGUGGUAGCUGCUCAUGAAAUUGUGGGAGCUUAUUUUGCCUGGAAUUAAAUCAGCACAAUUUGA
This is a long non-coding RNA of Macaca mulatta (Rhesus monkey), 374 nucleotides long. RefSeq lists it as uncharacterized. The record is from RefSeq and is a predicted model, not a curated record. Lineage: Eukaryota; Metazoa; Chordata; Mammalia; Primates; Cercopithecidae.